This 496-nucleotide ribosomal RNA is filed under the name uncultured bacterium. Its description in RNAcentral is "partial 16S ribosomal RNA". It matches the Rfam family "Bacterial small subunit ribosomal RNA", at positions 29 to 507 of the family's 1533-position model. The record is from RNAcentral.
AUGAACGCUGUCGGCGUGCCUAAUACAUGCAAGUCGAGCGAACAGACGAGGAGCUUGCUCCUCUGACGUUAGCGGCGGACGGGUGAGUAACACGUGGAUAACCUACCUAUAAGACUGGGAUAACUUCGGGAAACCGGAGCUAAUACCGGAUAAUAUAUUUAACCGCAUGGUUCAAUAGUGAAAGACGGUUUUGCUGUCACUUAUAGAUGGAUCCGCGCCGCAUUAGCUAGUUGGUAAGGUAACGGCUUACCAAGGCAACGAUGCGUAGCCGACCUGAGAGGGUGAUCGGCCACACUGGAACUGAGACACGGUCCAGACUCCUACGGGAGGCAGCAGUAGGGAAUCUUCCGCAAUGGGCGAAAGCCUGACGGAGCAACGCCGCGUGAGUGAUGAAGGUCUUCGGAUCGUAAAACUCUGUUAUUAGGGAAGAACAAAUGUGUAAGUAACUAUGCACGUCUUGACGGUACCUAAUCAGAAAGCCACGGCUAACUACGUG